GAGGCGUAGCUCAGUUGGUCAGAGCGUUCGGUUCACAUCCGAGAGGUCAUGGGUUCGAACCCCCUCGUC
RNAcentral lists this transfer RNA (69 nucleotides) under bovine gut metagenome. It matches the Rfam family "tRNA". Rfam says of the family: Transfer RNA (tRNA) molecules are approximately 80 nucleotides in length. Their secondary structure includes four short double-helical elements and three loops (D, anti-codon, and T loops). The record is from RNAcentral.